RNAcentral lists this long non-coding RNA (285 nucleotides) under Heterocephalus glaber (naked mole-rat). Its description in RNAcentral is "lncRNA (ENSHGLG00100036367.1)". Lineage: Eukaryota; Metazoa; Chordata; Mammalia; Rodentia; Bathyergidae. The record is from RNAcentral.
AACCUGUCUUGUCUCCAUCUCUCGUGUCCCCUGUCCCCUCUCAUCCUCGCUCCCCCUCUGGGGUCUCCGUUGACUUACCCGCGGGCCGGGACAAGUGGCGCCCAACGUGGGGCCAGAGAACGGGGGAUCCAGUGAAGGACGCUGCUCAGGGGCCCUAAGAUUAAGAUUGAGGAACAAAGAGCAUACUCGACACAGAAGAGGCUUGCGAUUGACGUGGACCUGCCGUCUUUUUGCACCUCGAGAAAAGAGCCCCAGGACCCCUGAGAGAUGAGAUGAAAGAAUGGC